GCAGUCGAGGGGUAUAUGUCUUCGGAUAUAGAGACCGGCGCACGGGUGCGUAACGCGUAUGCAAUCUGCCUUUCACAGAGGGAUAGCCCAGAGAAAUUUGGAUUAAUACCUCAUAGUAUAAUCAAGCCGCAUGGUUUAAUUAUUAAAGUCACAACGGUGAAAGAUGAGCAUGCGUCCCAUUAGCUAGUUGGUAAGGUAACGGCUUACCAAGGCAACGAUGGGUAGGGGUCCUGAGAGGGAGAUCCCCCACACUGGUACUGAGACACGGACCAGACUCCUACGGGAGGCAGCAGUGAGGAAUAUUGGACAAUGGGCGCAAGCCUGAUCCAGCCAUGCCGCGUGCAGGAUGACGGUCCUAUGGAUUGUAAACUGCUUUUGUACGAGAAGAAACAUCCCGACGUGUCGGGACUUGACGGUAUCGUAAGAAUAAGGAUCGGCUAACUCCGUGCCAGCAGCCGCGGUAAUACGGAGGAUCCAAGCGUUAUCCGGAAUCAUUGGGUUUAAAGGGUCCGUAGGCGGUUUAGUAAGUCAGUGGUGAAAGCCCAUCGCUCAACGGUGGAACGGCCAUUGAUACUGCUGAACUUGAAUUAUUAGGAAGUAACUAGAAUAUGUAGUGUAGCGGUGAAAUGCUUAGAUAUUACAUGGAAUACCAAUUGCGAAGGCAGGUUACUACUAAUGGAUUGACGCUGAUGGACGAAAGCGUGGGGAGCGAACAGGAUUAGAUACCCUGGUAGUCCACGCCGUAAACGAUGGAUACUAGCUGUUGGGGGCAACUUCAGUGGCUAAGCGAAAGUG
RNAcentral lists this ribosomal RNA (795 nucleotides) under Flavobacterium sp. RNAcentral describes it as "bacterial SSU rRNA". It matches the Rfam family "Bacterial small subunit ribosomal RNA", at positions 57 to 859 of the family's 1533-position model. The record is from RNAcentral. Lineage: Bacteria; Pseudomonadati; Bacteroidota; Flavobacteriia; Flavobacteriales; Flavobacteriaceae.